AUGAUCGAGGGCGGCUCCUGGAGGCUGUGGCACUCGCGCAACGGCAUCGAGGAUGCCAUCCAUCACGAGGGCAGGUUCUACUCUAUCACGUACUCCGGCAAAUUGGAGGUCUGGGAGGAGCGCGAUGUGGAUGACCCCGGAGUUUUCACGAGCGCGGUGGUCACGCCGAGCCUGCUGCUGCUGUCGGACGGCCCGGACCACCGCAAGUACCUCGUCGCAGUACCUUGCGGGCAGCUGAUGAUCGUGCUCAAGGAGCCAAUGGGUGACCGGACGUUACCGUCCUUUAGGGUGCACGUCCUCAGCGGGGGCGCCGAGGAGUGGAAGGAGACAGACGACAUCGGUGACGCCUCGCUGUUCGUCGGGACGAUGGGUUGCUUGUGUGUGUCGACGAGGGAGCACCCGGAGCUCAGGGCGGGCUGCAUCUACUACACCACGGACGGCUGCGUCGUGAUGUUUAGCCUCAAGGUGGGCAGGGUGGAGCAAGUCGAGGGCCUCGGGACGCACCGGAGCUGGCCGCCGCUGGAGUGGCUGGCGCCCUCGCACGACGGCGUCGAGGACGCCAUACACUACAAUGGCAAGUUCUACUCCAUCACGUACACCGGCGUCGUGGAGGCGUGGGAGCAGAGCCCCGAUGCCACCGGCAUGUUCACCAGCGCGGUGGUCGCGCCAAGGCUGCCCAAUGCGGACGGCGAUCCAUGGUCAUGCCGCAAGUACCUUGUGGCGGCGCCGGGCGGGAGGCUGAUGGUGGUGCUCGAGGACUCCAAGGACAUCACGGAUGAAUACUACGGUCGUCUUAGGACAUGCUCCUUCAAGGUGCAGAUCCUCGAUGCCAACGGCGAGCAGUGGAAGGAAACAGAUGACAUCGGCGAUGCUGCUCUGUUCGUCGGGGUGAACAGUUCGAUGUGCGUGUCAACUAGCGAGCACCCAGAGAUCAGGGCCGGCUGCGUCUACUACACCGAGAACGAUGUGGGGCCGUGCAAUGACGCGUAUGAUCAGAGUGGCGUCGGGGUGUUCAACCUCAAGGAUGGCAGGGCGGAGAAGGUCCAGGGCCUCGGGCAGCACCGGAACUGGCCACCGCCGGCAUGGUUCAUUCCUUCCUUCCAAUGA
RNAcentral lists this ribosomal RNA (1107 nucleotides) under Triticum aestivum (bread wheat). RNAcentral's name for it is "partial small subunit ribosomal RNA". Lineage: Eukaryota; Viridiplantae; Streptophyta; Magnoliopsida; Poales; Poaceae. The record is from RNAcentral.